RNAcentral lists this ribosomal RNA (465 nucleotides) under Vreelandella stevensii. Its description in RNAcentral is "partial 16S ribosomal RNA". It matches the Rfam family "Bacterial small subunit ribosomal RNA", at positions 338 to 795 of the family's 1533-position model. The record is from RNAcentral. Lineage: Bacteria; Pseudomonadati; Pseudomonadota; Gammaproteobacteria; Oceanospirillales; Halomonadaceae.
CCUACGGGGGGCAGCAGUGGGGAAUAUUGGACAAUGGGCGAAAGCCUGAUCCAGCCAUGCCGCGUGUGUGAAGAAGGCCUUCGGGUUGUAAAGCACUUUCAGUGGGGAAGAAAGCCUUGGGGCUAAUACCCUCGAGGAAGGACAUCACCCACAGAAGAAGCACCGGCUAACUCCGUGCCAGCAGCCGCGGUAAUACGGAGGGUGCGAGCGUUAAUCGGAAUUACUGGGCGUAAAGCGCGCGUAGGCGGUCUGAUAAGCCGGUUGUGAAAGCCCCGGGCUCAACCUGGGAACGGCAUCCGGAACUGUCAGGCUAGAGUGCAGGAGAGGAGGGUAGAAUUCCCGGUGUAGCGGUGAAAUGCGUAGAGAUCGGGAGGAAUACCAGUGGCGAAGGCGGCCUUCUGGACUGACACUGACGCUGAGGUGCGAAAGCGUGGGUAGCAAACAGGAUUAGAUACCCCGGUAGUC